CCGCACGGGUGAGUAACACGUAUCCAACCUGCCGUCUACUCUUGGCCAGCCUUCUGAAGGAAGAUUAAUCCAGGAUGGCAUCAUGAGUUCACAUGUCCGCAUGAUUAAAGUAUUUUCCGGUAGACGAUGGGGAUGCGUUCCAUUAGAUAGUAGGCGGGGUAACGGCCCACCUAGUCAACGAUGGAUAGGGGUUCUGAGAGGAAGGUCCCCCACAUUGGAACUGAGACACGGUCCAA
This 236-nucleotide ribosomal RNA is filed under the name uncultured bacterium. Its description in RNAcentral is "partial 16S ribosomal RNA". It matches the Rfam family "Bacterial small subunit ribosomal RNA", at positions 98 to 334 of the family's 1533-position model. The record is from RNAcentral.